Long non-coding RNA from Cavia porcellus (domestic guinea pig), 8131 nucleotides. RefSeq lists it as uncharacterized. The transcript has 2 exons. NCBI's taxonomy places the organism in Eukaryota, Metazoa, Chordata, Mammalia, Rodentia, Caviidae. The record is from RefSeq and is a predicted model, not a curated record.
AGCCUACCUCUGCAGGCAGGAAGCUCCUGGCCCAGCCCCGGGAGGCCCAGCCUCUGGGGACGCUGGGCUGGUCAUUCAAGUGACCACGUGGCCCCACAGGGGGUGGGGCAAACUGCUACAGGAGGGCUCUGUCAUGGCAAGGCCUCACCUGCCCAGUGUGGCCCACCUGAGGAGGACCGGGAGGGGAGGAACCAGACCUGUCCCCUCCCUGCUGACACUCUAUCCCUCAGGCUGUUUGCUCAGUGGCAGCUGGCUCCCAGGAACCAGCAGGCCUACAGAACCCAGCAUGAGAUGAAACCUUAGGCCUUCACCCGGCUACUGAUGUGACGACUGAGUAGACGGCAGGAAGCACUGUGGUUCAAUAUCAGAGGGCUUCCAGGAUGGCUGGGGCCUGGCGCUGGGCAGGCUGAAGGCCUGGACCCUGCACUGAGACCAAGGAGAGAGCACCAGACCGGGAACCCUGCCUUAGCCUGAGCUGGCUCACACACCCAGUGGGCCUGUGACUCUUGGGAAGACCCUUAAGUCUCAGCUACCCCUUGCUCUGAUGGUGGCCACUUCUGUCCCAGGCUGCAGUGUUCCUGUCAGCUGACAUCUCUAGGAAGCUCCGCAGGUACUUUGGUGGCAUCUCUCUCCCUCUCAGCACUGGGCCUUGCAUAUAAACUGGGUCUCUGAGAAGGGGUGAUGGGCCCCCUCCCACCCCUGCUCAUCUUCCUUCUCCUGCCUGGGUCACCUUCUCUGGCCUCCUGACAUAGACACUUCCAGAGGCAGCCUGAGCCACUCCAGCAGCCCCUUUGUUCCUCCGGGCCUCUGUAUUCCCAUCUGUAAGAUGGGUUUAGUCCAAAGGCCAAGCAGGGCAGGAACUGGAUGAAUGUCAGCCCAGGCUCUGUUCCCACCAACAUGUGCCUCCCUCUUGUUUUUCCAUCUGCGGGGACCCAGGCAUCAGGCCAGGCAGUCAUCCUGCAGUCCUGGUGUGCACCCAUUCCUGGGCUCCUGUGUCCCCACCUGCAAGACAGGGCAGCCAUGCCUGCCUCUCAGGGAUAUAGGGAGGACACAGUAUGGUACAAACACCUCCACUUGUGACCUACGUUGCUCAGCACAAGUCCUUCCUGGUCCUGGGUCAUUGUAAUCCUCCUGGCCAGGGCUCUACCCCACUGUCCUGUAGCUGAUGCUGGCCUGGGGUCUGGAGCCAGGGACCAUACCUGAUCGUAUGUGCCCGGGACCCACUCCAUCCUCCACAGCCUGGUGGGCCUGCCUCAGCUCACUGCCCGAGGAGAGUGUGGUCCUGUCCGGGUGCUACCCCCUUCUCCAGCCAAGGGUGGUGACACCUGACAAUGUAGAGGAUGGCAUUCUGAUGAAGUAUUGGGGCUGUGGGGGAGUGAUGGGGCACUUCUGGGUUUGGCAUGCGGACCCUGCCAUGGCAGGGGCUGGGAGAGCCCUCCUUAGCCCGGCCUGGGAGUCAGAGUGGGCUUGUAACACACAGUCAUUCCAGUGGUCCAGCGUUCAGCACAAGACCACACGCUGCUGAGGUCAGGCAUGAGGGCACUGAGGCAUGAGGGCCCAGAUGACCAGCUCUCACAUAGAGGCCAGGGGCAUGGUCCAUAGCAUUCAACAGAAGAGGGCAAACUCAGCCUUAUUCUCCAAGGAGAGGGCUGACCAAGCCUGUGACAGGACAGACCUAUCUGCCCACAUCUGGGCAGUGGGAUCGCUGACCAUUGUUUGUGUAAUCAGAAGACCAGAUUCCUGCUAUUCCAGCAAGCCCAGGUGCCCAGAAAAGCCAGGAUGCCCCAGGGCCACCCCAUACUCCUGGACCUUGUCACUCCUGUCUCAGCCCUGCCUUUUGUCCUAAUGCCCAUAGCUCCUGGGCUGGCUUUUGCACCUGUCCGCACUUAACCAUCUUGUCUCUUCACACAGGGGUCAACUGUGCCUUCAUCUCUGGUGCCCAGUCUUCCCCCAGGUUCUGCACCUCAGGCUAAGGAGUACCACCCAGCCCAGGUGACAUGCCUUAGGCUGCAGAGGGGCUGUGGCACCCGACAUCCUGCUUUUCUCACUGGGUCCCAUGGCUCCCACAUAGGGCCCUUCCUAGCUGGUGCCCCAACAAGUGGACAGUGGCACUUGCCUUUGAGUUUCUUGUUUUGGGCCAUGCAAUGGCUCCGAGCUAAGGAACACCCACCCAUUCCUAGAGCACAGCAGGGUGGUGACAGAGGCCACAUGCUCUGGUGCUCAGGUCAAGGACUCAUAAGCAGGAUGGAGCUCAGGGAGAGGCAGUGGAGGAGCUGGGGCCUCAUUCUGCCCACAGCCCUGCAGGCAAAGAUGACAUAUUGCCUUCCAUCCCAGGGACCAGGAAGCCAGCCAUCUCUCCCCAUCUCCUGCCACUUGGUCUAGUCCUGUCCCUAGCACACCUGCCCACAAACAUGUAGGCAGUACUGCUUCCUGGUGGCCAGAAUGCCACUCCUCCCUGGGGAGGAAGCAGCCCUCUGGCAGACCUGGUGCCUCAGUUUCCCCAUGUAACCUAAAUCCUACAUAUGGCUGUGCAGGUCAGGGCAUUCAGAAUGAAGACAUAGGCUCUUCUUAGGUGCCUGCUGGCUACUUCAAAGUGCGUCUCUGUCUAGAGUCCUCUUGUCAGACCAGCAGUGUCCCUGGACUGAGCUCCAGCUGCCCAAUUGGCCUGGUGGCUGCAUUCGGGUGAGGUGUGAGCAGCCUCAGCUUCUGGCCCCUGGACUGUCUUACUGCCGGUGCCCAGCAGCCCCAGGACCCAGGGGGGCCAGCCUGGGAACACAGGGACACCCCUUCCCGCAUUGUGGGUCUGCGUUCACCCUGCUGCCAACCCCAACUCCUGAAGAACCUGCCAGGACCUGUCCAUGCCUGCUUUUUCCCACACUAGCUGCCAGCUUUGGGUGUAUCCCUGCCAAGACUUUCGGUGGUACUGGAGCUGGUGGGGAGCAAGGAAUCUGGGUUUGAUAGGAUGGGGAGAGAGUGGGUUUUUUCUCCAGAACACCCACCCCACUGGGCCCCAGUCUGGAAACCAUGUCCCUCCCAUGUGAGUCCCCAUGUGCAUAGCUCACCUCCCUAGUGGCUCUGGGCCGCCGGCAGAGCCCCUGAUAGACUUGCAGCUUGGCUUUCCAGACAGGGGACACCUUUGCAGCCUCCAGCCCUCUGCAGUUCUCCUCAGCAGCUGGGCCGCAGGGUCCCUGUACACCCUUGCUCUGCCCAGAAACUCCACCCAGCCCUGCCUAGCCAGCCCGACCUGCCCAAGCAGCCUCUGCUGGGCCACACCCUUGGCCACCCAGACCAGGUUCUGCGACCAGCCUUCAGUUACUGCCACAGCCACCUGUCAUGCCCUCCUGCCUGCAGACCUGGGUCUAGAAACUGACAUCAAAGUGCUCUUCUGGUGGCCAUGUACCAAGUAUGAGCAGAUACUGCCAUCAGGGUCACACCCUGGCCCUGGGUGUGCAGUGGUGUGGUGAUGCCUAUGUCCCACAUGAGCUGAGCGUCUGGGUGACCGGACCAUCUUCCACCAACCCUUCCUUCGGUCUACAACUCUCCAUUCUCCCUUCCUUAGUCCUGGUAUCCCCAAACAGCUCUAGGGAGGCCGAGAACAAGCAUUGUUACCAAACUGGUCACAGUUAGACAGGGUUCACACGACCACUGGAACAUGUAAUCUGUGUUUGGGCCUUUUGUGGGCUGACUCUCGGUCCUCCUGGCCCCGGGGAGGGGGACAUGCGACGGUGGGGCUCAGGGAGGUCGCUGCUAGUUUCAUGUGAGAAAGCUUCAACAUUCCUUGUCCUUACGUGGUGUGGGCUGAAGGCCGACAGAUGGUAGGGCAGGUGCUUGAGGCCUGGCAGUGGGGCCUUCUGCAUAACCUGGUUCUCUUUCUGGAGAUGUGUCUUCCUCCUCCUCUCUUCCUGUUUCUCCCAGUGCCUCCCCCCUAGUCCCACCUUGUGCUUCUUUCCAGGCCCUAGCAUGGGGAAGGCAGUCUGUCGUCAGCCCCCCAGGCCUUUUUGUCUGUGUGGUACGGGCCUCAUGUGAGACGCUGAGCUUGCAUGGGAAUGUUCCAACAUGUUCUUGUGCACAUUGCUGACCAUGUCCACUUCUGGGCCCCCAAACGCUGUCCUCAGCAAACAUGGGCUUAUUUCUGAAACAUCCAUAUUGUCCUCGGGGCUUAAGGGGUCUUGGACCUCAAUCUUUCUUCAGGAACCUUCACUUACAGCCAGGGCACCUUUCACCCACACAGGCAGGGCCUGCUGUUUUUCUUGCUGUGAUGCCAAAUGAUAAGCUCCAGUGGCAGUGCCUCCCUUCAGUGCCAGGCAUACUCUGCAGGCCUGCCUUUACUCCACCCGCUGAACCUUCUCCCUGUUUCCAGUUUCCCUUCCAGAAGCUAAACCGAGCAGUCUGUGCCAGCUCACUCCUCCCUGUGUGAUCUCAUCCUGUGGGCUACCGUAACUGGUGUGUGUGAGGGGCAGGUUGUUGAGUUUCAGGAUAUGGUAGCUGCCUGACCCCAAGAACAGCUGAGUUUCUGGAACUUUCUAUCUUCAAGGUGCACUUGAGCCCUGGCAAAGAGUAGGAAUGAUGGAGGGAUUUGGGAGGUCCCAAGUAGCUCAGCAGAGACCUGGGAAAACCAUGGGAGGGAAGGUGGUGGUCCAAGGCAGAGCCUUGUAGACAGACCCUUCCUGCACGUCUGCGGGAAGGAAAUUGUAGCUGGACAGCUGGGUAAGCAUCACACAUGGCCUCAUUAGCUACAGAUCUUAAAUGCUGGCAGCUGGGAGUGAACUGUUCCUGUGGGAAGCAAGAACAGUGACUCUUUAGGGAGCCAGCCUGAGUCGGAUGGGACGUGGGGAUGCGCAGGGGCCCUGGCUGAGCUCCUGAAGGCAGGGACUAUUGAUGUGCUUUUUUCUGUGGCAGUGGGGGUCAAGCUCAGGACCUGGAGCGUGCCUCUGUGAUAUAGCUCGAGCCCGUCAACACUAGCAGAUCACUGUGGCAGCUCCAAGGAGUGUAAUUUAGAGGCCCAGGGAAUGAGGUUCAGCUCUGGGUCAGUUUGGUACCUUCGGGCCAGGCCGUCUUGGGGCCACACAAAUAAUAGGGGUGGAGGAGCUGCCUUCUUGCCGUCACCACUACUUACUGCCCUGACCAGCACUUACACCCUGGCGUCACUGAGCGUCUCCCUCAUUUCUCAACUGUCUCCACUACCUGCCUCUUAAGUAAGGGGUGGGGGGUGGGGUCAUGGGACACAAUUAGAGGCAGGGAACUGUCAGGGCUGGCGCUUAGGAAGCCCGGAAACGAAGCGCUUGAACCAGAACCAGACAGAAACCUGAAGGAAAGACUGACCUUGGUAGCUGGAUUAUUCCUUUGAUGUAAUUAAAAGGACACAGGGACAGAGAAUGACAGAGGGGCCGAAUGACAAGAACAUUAGGCCCCAGGCCCCCAGUUCUUACUAUCCAGUUAGCUUUGUGGCCUCCCCUCGUGUUUCACUUUCCUUGUCUGCAAAAGCAGAUGGUGAGUGGUGGGGUUUUGAACAGAAACAGGCACAUGAACUAAUUCGAUUUCAUUUGUGGACAAGAUUGGGAAACUGAAGUCAUAGACUUGACUUCAGACCUAGAGCAGACCCAGGGUGAGCUUCUCUGGAUCCGUUCCAUGGGGAGAGCUGCAGAUCCUUGGACAGAACCAGGUAUGAGUUUUAGGGGACAAAUAUGGAUGAUUAAAGGCUGACAGUGAAUGAAAAAGUUUGCCCCAAAGCCUGCUCCGUAGUGCUAACCUAAUGAUGCCAAGUUUUCACUUCCGGUCGAGUUCUCCAGAGCUGGUGCCCACCCCACUCCAGCCCAGCCUAGUGGGCCCAAGCACUUUCCCCACCUUGGCAGCUUGUGGUCCUACUGUGCUUCCUUCUUGAGUUCAUUCAUCUGUGGUAAGAUUUGUGGGGUCAGGUCUCCACGGAGCUGACACUGACUGGGAUAAAAUCACUAUGAGGCUCUAUAGGAGACACCUGUGUGCAGGAAGGGGCGGCAGGCAUCCGACAGACCUUGGGGCCUGCAAGCUUAGCUGGGCUCCAGACGGGACACUGGGUGAAGCUGUCUGGACAUGAUGAAGGCUAGAUAUGCUGUCUGGAGUCCUUGGUCCAAGUUGGCCACUACAAUGGGUCCCAACUGCCAGGGAUGGAUCAGGGAGCUCCUGAGGGCAGGGUGGCAGGACAUAGGUGCUCAGGUACUCCUGUUGCAGGAAGGAGCAUUGGGACAGUCAUCUUCUGUCCACCUUCAGCAGACCUACUUUCUCAGUUCACUAUCUGCCUGGCCUACAAAGGGGUUCCUAAGAGAAAGAAAAAUUACAAGUCUGCAGGAGCCACCAGUUCAAAGAUAAACCAAAUACAAACAUUUCUUAAUAAUUUCAUGAAUACCCAGGGGUUACUUGAGGCUUUUGUGCAUCCUCAAUUCCAGGAAGGGCACCAUGUGCUUCUCUGUGACCCAAUCUCACACCCCCCCAACUGUCUCUGCCUUCUCACCGGAGACCAUCAGAGCCUCAGGUGGGACAAAGAUUUCACUAACUGGAGAGGGACUGGUGAUACUGGCCUUGCUGUAAGACAGAGAGCCCAGGUCCAGGCUGCUACUCACAGGCCAACUCUGGGGUUUAAAGGUCAUUCUACAUCUAACCCCUGAUUCCAGCCUUUAGCAAUCUCUGCAGAUAUCCUAGGAUUAUUUCUAAAGGGUCGACCUAAUUCUACUUAAAACCCUCCAAGUUCCUCACUGAGCUCAGGAUCAUUCUAGGGCUACCUGUCCCCCACAGUGAUCUUCUUGUCCAGCCUUAGCACCCACCUGCAGUGCCACCCCUGCUGUCCUCAUCAUACCCUUGACCUCUGUACACAUGGUUGCAUCCCUGGACUUCACACACACACACAGUGGCUUCAGGCACUAUGCCUUGACCUCUGUACACAUGGUUGCAUCCCUGGACUUCACACACACACACACCCACACACAGUGGCUUCAGGCACUCAGUAUGACCCUACACAACACCAGCAGGAUGGAAGCCAACAAUGAAGACCCAUUGGAGAGGAGCAGGGCGACAAGCAAGCACAGAGGUACUCCCAGGACUCACCCUCACCCAUCAACCACCAAUGGCAUUUUGGUCAUGAUUAAGUAUCACGGGAAACCCACUUUUAUUAAAAAAAAAAAAAAAAAAAAAACUUCUACAAGUGACACUGCCCACCGAGGGCCACGAGUCAUGCCAGCUGACUCACGUUGCUCAUUCCCAAGUAGAUGCAAGGAUCAGAGCCCAGGGAGAACCAUUCCCAAAUGUCUCUACUGCUUUUGCCACCCACUGUGAUAUAGUCACAAACAGUGAAGAUCUGCCUGAAGACAGGAAUGCUUUUUGUGGCCAAAGUCAGAGAAAGCUCUUUCUUUUGACUGUGCCAAAGGACGGGUCUAUGGGACCCUGCAAAGGGACAGAGUGUCCAGCUGGUCUCGCUGAGUGGUGUGUGCUGCUAACUCCAGGUCACCACACCUGGCACACCCGGAUCAGCUCCUUUAAGGCCUUCAGCCCCUCCAUGCUCUUGUCCUUCACCGCCAUGGCGAGCAGGACUGCUCUGUUUCCAGCUUCUUGAGACACAAACGCUACCAAGUUCUUUGCAAAGACAUGGAUGAGAGGCUGAUGAAAGGGAGGAAAUCACAGUGACUGCAGGAAUCCUGGACUUUUUCCCUGAUGCUUUCAUUAAGUGACUCUGGCUUCCCACACUACCAUUAAGCCCAGUGUAGCUAUGACUCAGAGCUCCACGAGGCACUUGAACUCCAGGUAUAAACAAACCACUACAGAGGCAUCAUUAAGCUUAUUUCCUUGGUGCCUUCCUCAACUCUCUUCCCACCUAUUUCUAAUCUGGAAGGACUCAUGAAAGACAAGCCUGCGGAGCGAGACGCUGUCAAGUCUCAUGGAGCACGUGCAGCCACUCAUUAAUAUAAUGUAUCAGGACAGGGUCAAACUGAGGAGGCAGCCCGCAUUACAAAAUCAAUACCUCCACUUAUCUGCUGGAUAAAGCGCUGACGGGCUGUGAAAGGCAUUGCCAAGGGCAGGAAGAUGCCCUCAAACCCACACAGGUCCCCGAGAAGGCUGUCACUGUUGCUGUGUGUGUGUGUGUGUGGUGCCGCAUACCAGAUGC